This 253-nucleotide ribosomal RNA is filed under the name uncultured bacterium. RNAcentral describes it as "partial 16S ribosomal RNA". It matches the Rfam family "Bacterial small subunit ribosomal RNA", at positions 524 to 776 of the family's 1533-position model. The record is from RNAcentral.
UACGUAGGGUGCGAGCGUUAAUCGGAAUUACUGGGCGUAAAGCGUGCGUAGGCGGCUUUGCAAGUCAGAUGUGAAAUCCCCGGGCUUAACCUGGGAACUGCAUUUGUGACUGCAUGGCUGGAGUGCGGCAGAGGGGGAUGGAAUUCCGCGUGUAGCAGUGAAAUGCGUAGAUAUGCGGAGGAACACCGAUGGCGAAGGCAAUCCCCUGGGCCUGCACUGACGCUCAUGCACGAAAGCGUGGGGAGCAAACAGG